AAAAGCAUGGACGGAAGCAGCAGCAGAAGAAGAACUGAACGAUAACGAGAGGCACGGAUUGAAGAGGGAGUACAAAUACUAGGAUGAAUUAGCAGAUGGAUUACAAAGGCACACCACUGUACAAACGAAAAGAAAAAAAAACAGAGCAAAAUAUGGAGAAGAGGGAGGAAAAAAAACUGGAGUUUGCGAGUUGAAAAGCACGAGCACCUACCGGCUCGACUCACCCGACGCGACGGAAUCCAAGCAAGCAGUUAUAAAUCAUCCCGGUGCGGCUCGGCUCGGCUCGAUCGGUCGUGGGCCGCGACGUGGCGAGGCGCUGAGGUAGGUGGGGUCUUUGAAAGCUGGGCGGCUUGGCGGCGCCGUCCGGCCGGAGCAGCUACUCGUCCGGCACCCCUUACGCGUCGGUCAGCCACAACCCAGGGAACAGCGACUGCGCAAGAACAGUAGCAACCACUGUUAGUUUGGAUCGCAGGAGUGCGAUUGCACACAACAAUUAGGUUUAUUAAUUAAGAUAUUAUGCCUGGGUAUUUAGGGUUAAAGGUGUAAUCGAGGGAAUAAAUAAGAGAGGGUAAUUGGUUAAAACAAUGGUGGUUUGGAAAGGGGGGGAGGGGGUAGUGUGGGGAAUUCGCCUUACAUCGAGCUGCCGCUGUACGGCGCGCGGCCGCCUCCUCGGACGCCG
This 679-nucleotide long non-coding RNA is filed under the name Oryza brachyantha (malo sina). RNAcentral's name for it is "long non-coding RNA (OBRA_LNC001528)". Lineage: Eukaryota; Viridiplantae; Streptophyta; Magnoliopsida; Poales; Poaceae. The record is from RNAcentral.